RNAcentral lists this ribosomal RNA (497 nucleotides) under uncultured bacterium. RNAcentral describes it as "partial 16S ribosomal RNA". It matches the Rfam family "Bacterial small subunit ribosomal RNA", at positions 28 to 507 of the family's 1533-position model. The record is from RNAcentral.
GAUGAACGCUGGCGGCGUGCCUAAUACAUGCAAGUCGAGCGAACAGACGAGGAGCUUGCUCCUCUUACGUUAGCGGCGGACGGGUGAGUAACACGUGGAUAACCUACCUAUAAGACUGGGAUAACUUCGGGAAACCGGAGCUAAUACCGGAUAACAUAUUGAACCGCAUGUUUCAAUAGUGAAAGACGGUAUUGCUGUCACUUAUAGUUGGAUCCGCGUCGAUUUAGCUAGUUGGUAAGGUAAGGGCUUACUAAGGCACCGAUCCGUAGCCGACCUGAGAGGGUGAUCGCCCACACUGGAACUGGAACACGGUCCAGACUCCUACGGGAGGCGGAAGAGGGGAAUCUUCGGCAAGGGGCGAAAGCCUGACGGAGCAAGGCCGCGUGAGUGAUGAAGGUCUUCGGUUCGUAAGACUCGGUUAUUAGGGAAGAACAAAUGUGUAAGUAACUGUGCACGUCUUGACGGUACCUAAUCAGAAAGCCACGGCUAACUACGUG